RNAcentral lists this small nuclear RNA (107 nucleotides) under Dasypus novemcinctus (nine-banded armadillo). The record is from RNAcentral. Lineage: Eukaryota; Metazoa; Chordata; Mammalia; Cingulata; Dasypodidae.
CUGUUCACUUUGCCACCACAUAUACUAAAAUUGGAAUGAUACAGAGAAGAUUAGCAUGACCCCUGUACAAGGAUGACAUGCAAAUUCAUGAAGAAUUUAUUUUCUGA